GAAAAUAAACAUGUUAUUCACUGACUUUUAAUCAGUAGGUCCAGGGUUCGAAUCCCUGCGCGCUCACCA
RNAcentral lists this transfer RNA (69 nucleotides) under Ochrobactrum sp. RH2CCR150. Its description in RNAcentral is "tRNA-Lys". It matches the Rfam family "tRNA". Rfam says of the family: Transfer RNA (tRNA) molecules are approximately 80 nucleotides in length. Their secondary structure includes four short double-helical elements and three loops (D, anti-codon, and T loops). The record is from RNAcentral. Lineage: Bacteria; Pseudomonadati; Pseudomonadota; Alphaproteobacteria; Hyphomicrobiales; Brucellaceae. RNAcentral also lists the same sequence under 1 other name.